UUACACAGCCCUGGCAACUGGCAUUACACAGCCAGGACAACUGACAUUACACUGCCCUGGCAACUGGCAUUACACAACCCUGGCAACUGGCAUUACACAGCCAGGGCAACUGACAUUACACAGCCCUGGCAACUGGCAUUACACAGCCCUGGCAAUGCAUGACACCCAUCCCAGAGCAUGAAAACACUUUGAACCAGCAUGGAACCCAGAGCAUGAAACCCCUGGCAAUCAGCAUGACACCCAGCGCAUGAAACCCUUGGCUAUAAGCAGUUCUGCUGAGUACACAUGAGUAGUCCAAAGUCCACUGUUGUGUAUCACUGCAAAAAAAUGCACGAAAGAGGAAAACUCUGCUCCCCUACUGAGAGCAACAGGAGACUGAUUAUGUCUCCAAAAGUACAAAUGGCGGCACACCACCAAAUCAGCAUGCUCUAUGCCUGUACACUCUAGAACACUAGUUCUUGGAUACAUCUCAGGUUGGGCAGCCUAAAAGAGUUAUUUUUUGCCUGAAGGUUGAAUAUAUGAGAGCGGACUCCUGCUUUGACCAUGAA
Molecule: long non-coding RNA, 548 nt
Organism: Pseudophryne corroboree (corroboree frog)
Lineage: Eukaryota; Metazoa; Chordata; Amphibia; Anura; Myobatrachidae
Exons: 3
Source: RefSeq, a predicted model, not a curated record